This 335-nucleotide long non-coding RNA is filed under the name Populus tremula. RNAcentral's name for it is "long non-coding RNA (PTRE_LNC002954)". Lineage: Eukaryota; Viridiplantae; Streptophyta; Magnoliopsida; Malpighiales; Salicaceae. The record is from RNAcentral.
GAAAAAUUAAAAGAAACUUUUAAUUGCUUAGGGGUCUAAUUGCCGAAUUUCCAAAGUCCAGGGGUCAAUUGAAAAUGUCCAUGGCUGCUUGAACGUCGCCGUUACUGGUGAAAUCCAUUGCUACCGAAACGUCGUCGUUGAUGGUGGAACAGUCGUGUUCGUCUUCUGCAUCCCGAUUCAACAGGCUGAAGAUCUGCAACGAAGUUGAUCCCAUCGUGGACCACGUCUAUCGCACACGAUCUCGUCGGGGAAGAUAAGAGUCCUGCGAAGACAGGACUGGUUAAAGGAGAGGAGCUGGGUAGUCUAUAAAAGGGAGCAGAAAACCUAGUCGCAAG